Trichechus manatus latirostris (Florida manatee) is the source of this 70-nucleotide non-coding RNA. NCBI's taxonomy places the organism in Eukaryota, Metazoa, Chordata, Mammalia, Sirenia, Trichechidae. The record is from the annotation of a RefSeq genome assembly.
GUUAAUGUAGCUUAAACCUUUAAAGCAAGGCACUGAAAAUGCCUAGAUGAGUGAGCUCACUCCAUAGACA